Long non-coding RNA from Equus caballus (horse), 1824 nucleotides. Lineage: Eukaryota; Metazoa; Chordata; Mammalia; Perissodactyla; Equidae. The record is from Ensembl.
CGAGGACCGGGCCCGGUCCCCACCGCCAGAGCCGGUCGACUCGGAAGACCAGUGGGGAAAAGGCCAGCCCGGCGGCCGAGCCCGUCGCGCCCUCCACGGGCCUCCCCCGCAAGGCCCCGGCCGGUCCCCCACCUCCGGAGCGGGGCGCGGAAAGGGGAUCGGCGACGCGGAAGGCCCGACCACCGGGCCGCCCUCAGGACGACGGCCGGGCACGGGACGAGUUCCCUCGCCCGUUCCCCCGCGGUGGCCCCCCACCCCCUCCCGGGGACGGAGGGGCACCGGCGGCUGCUGGUCGACCCGUCCGGGAGGCCCCACACCCCGGCCGGCACCGGGCGGCGCGGCGACAGCCACCUCCCUCAGUAGCCUGCACCUCCAAUCUCCGGCGAGCGGGCGUCGCGCUCACGCACCGGCGCCACCGGGCCAGAUCCCGCCAGCGACGCCGGCCUCCCGGGACUCUGCCUCGGUCACCGCGGCCGAGUCCCGUCCCUUGGCCCGCGUCGCCGGAGCUCCGGAGGAAAGAGACGAUAUAAAAGCGGCCGCCAGGUGGCACCCGGCGACCGGCGACCGCCUCAGCGGGACGGAGCCGGAGCGCGGGCCCGCCGGGGAGCACAGCCGGGCCGCCGGGCCGCCAGAUCCCGUCCCGGCGCCCCCGGACCCAGCCUCCCGGCCCAGCUCGGCCCCGGGGCGUCCGCCCGCGGGCUCCGGCCGCCAAGGCGCAGCCCCAGCCGCAGGAGGGGGACCCGGAAAAGGUUUCUCGGGCGCUCACCGGGAAGGGGACGGGGAGAGUUCCCCCAGAGAGGCCAGGGGUCGGCCCGGGCCGGGCUGAGCCGGUGCGGCCGGGAGGCCGCCGCUUCCCGGAGCGGCCGGAGCGCCCCCGGGGCUCCCGGGAGGACUUAGAAAAUCAGGGCGGGCGGGGACGGUCAAACCGAAACCAGGCACGUCAUCCGAGAAGGACCGUGAUGACGGGAGGAGGAAAGCUUUCAAGCGCAGAGGGUCUGUCGAAGGCAGGCGGAGAGUCUACCCGCUGAAACGGACGAAGAUGGGAAAAAGAGGCUAGCUGAGGUGCCGACAUUUAAGGAAAUUAAAAAAAAAAAAAAAGCACGAGGGCGUGGAGAACUGGGGGAAAAUCAACACUGAGAAAUCUACCCUCUGAAACUGACGAAGAUGGGCAACAGGGGCUAGCUCGGGUGGCAAUCUUUAAGCAGAACACACACACACACACACACACACACACACACACAGGCGUAGAGACCUGGGGAAAAAGCAACGCUGAGAAAUCUACCCUCUGAAACUGACGAACAUGGGCAACACAGGCUAGCUCAGGCGGCAAUCGUUAAGCAAAAGAAACACACAAGGGCGUGGAGACCUGGGGAAAAAGCAACACUGAGAAAUCCACCCUCAGAAACUGAGAAAGAAGCGCAACAGAGGCUAGCUCAGGUGGCAAUCGUUAAGCAAAAGAAACACACAAGGGCGUGGAGACCUGGGGAAAAAGCAACACGGAGAAAUCCACCCUCUGAAACUGACGAAGAAGGGCAACAGAUGCUAGCUUAGGUUCAAUAUUUGAGCAAAAAAAAAAAAAAAAAAAAACCCACACACAAGGGCGUGCAGAACUUGGGAAAGAGCAAGACUGAGAAAUCUACCCUCUGAAACUGACAAAGAUGGGCCACAGAGGCUAGCUCAGGUGGCAAUCGUUAAGCAAAAGAAACACACAAGGGCGUGGAGACCUGGGGAAAAAGCAGCACUGAGAAAUGUACCCUCUGAAACUGACGACGAUGGGCAACAGAGGCUAGCUCACGUGGCAAUCGUUAUGCAAAAGGAAAACAC